RNAcentral lists this ribosomal RNA (435 nucleotides) under uncultured bacterium. RNAcentral describes it as "partial 16S ribosomal RNA". It matches the Rfam family "Bacterial small subunit ribosomal RNA", at positions 29 to 507 of the family's 1533-position model. The record is from RNAcentral.
AGCGAACGCUGGCGGCAGGCUUAACACAUGCAAGUCGAGCGGGCACUUUCGGGUGUCAGCGGCGGACGGGUGAGUAACGCGUGGGAACGUGCCCUCUGGUUCGGAAUAACUCAGGGAAACUUGAGCUAAUACCGGAUACGCCCUUUUGGGGAAAGGCUUGCUGCCGGAGGAUCGGCCCGCGUCUGAUUAGCUAGUUGGCGAGGUAACGGCUCACCAAGGCGACGAUCAGUAGCUGGUCUGAGAGGAUGAUCAGCCACACUGGGACUGAGACACGGCCCAGACUCCUACGGGAGGCAGCAGUGGGGAAUAUUGGACAAUGGGCGCAAGCCUGAUCCAGCCAUGCCGCGUGAGUGAUGAAGGCCUUAGGGUUGUAAAGCUCUUUUAUCCGGGACGAUAAUGACGGUACCGGAGGAAUAAGCCCCGGCUAACUUCGUG